RNAcentral lists this ribosomal RNA (506 nucleotides) under uncultured bacterium. RNAcentral's name for it is "partial 16S ribosomal RNA". It matches the Rfam family "Bacterial small subunit ribosomal RNA", at positions 29 to 523 of the family's 1533-position model. The record is from RNAcentral.
AGUGAACGCUGGCGGUAGGCCUAACACAUGCAAGUCGAACGGCAGCACAGGAGAGCUUGCUCUCUGGGUGGCGAGCGGCGGACGGGUGAGGAAUACAUCGGAAUCUACUCUGUCGUGGGGGAUAACGUAGGGAAACUUACGCUAAUACCGCAUACGACCUACGGGUGAAAGCAGGGGACCUUCGGGCCUUGCGCGAUUGAAUGAGCCGAUGUCGGAUUAGCUAGUUGGCGGGGUAAAGGCCCACCAAGGCGACGAUCCGUAGCUGGUCUGAGAGGAUGAUCAGCCACACUGGAACUGAGACACGGUCCAGACUCCUACGGGAAGCAGCAGUGGGGAAUAUUGGACAAUGGGCGCAAGCCUGAUCCAGCCAUACCGCGUGGGUGAAGAAGGCCUUCGGGUUGUAAAGCCCUUUUGUUGGGAAAGAAAUCCAGCUGGCUAAUACCCGGUUGGGAUGACGGUACCCAAAGAAUAAGCACCGGCUAACUUCGUGCCAGCAGCCGCGGUAA